AGCUGCACGAACCCCGCCCUCAGGUUCCUCACAUGCCACUGCUUGUAAGUCUCCGGCCUCUCCAACCUCUCCGUGCCCUCGCAGGCAAGGACGUUGAGCGCCUCUCGACCGAAGAGGACCUUCUCGAUCAGCUGCCUCGAUUCAUCCUCCUGUGGCGCAUUCGUCCCGAUCAUGUCGAACAAGGAAGAAUAGUGGAACAAAGCUUCCCUGAAGCGGGUGACGAAGAACGGAGCACUGUACGUGCCAUUGACGACGCCGUGAAUGAACACAUCCGGGUUGAUCUUUCUUAUGGUGUUCAACACCUUGUCCCUCGGGUUAUCCACCACCACCGUCUCGUCCAACAGGUUCUUGAACCGGUACAAACAGUUGACGACGACCACCUCGUCGUCACGAAGGUCGAGGUCCUCCACUCGGAUGUCAUCCCACUUGGCCGCUACAAUCGAGCGGAACUCGAAAGGGAUGCGGAAGUUGGAUGCGUAAUCGGCUAAGCGACGCCCCGUUUCGUCGAUCAGCUCGGUCGGGCGGAAUCCAUGCCUGGGGACGUCGAUGCCGGUCAUCCGAACCUUCGGAGGGGCAUCAGGCCGAGAAGAGAGGCGUUGCAGGAAACAUGGCCACUGGAAUCCGUAGUACAUGCCGAAAUCUAUGAUGUGCAACCUCGUUGCCUUCUCUGCCACAUUGAGAAUGGUCUGCGUGGCAAAGAAAUGGGAGACCUUCCUGAAAGGACAGGCAGCCAUGUAAAGCUGGUAAGCUUUCAGGACGUCGGUGACGGGAAUCCGUUUUGCCGUCAAGGAAUGGUAGAUCUGGCUCCCUGUACCGGCGAGGCGAGCCUGCAGGCCGUCGGCGAACCAAUGAGCCAACCUCUGGUUUGCGUCUCCAAAAGGCGAGGAGUGCUGUCUGAUCUGCUUCAGCAACUCAUUUGCGCUUCGAUGAUCAUCUGCGGCCACGGCAUGAGCGCAAUGGGUCAGGAGAGAACUUAGAUCGACCACCUCCCUCUUCGGUUGCUUCUUCCCUCGACCCUUCCUGCCUUUGGAACGACUGCCGUGAGAGACUUUACUUGCUUCGUUCUGCGAUCUUUCUCGGAAUUUGUCAACGGCCUUGGCGCAACUCCCCCCGCUGCACAGGAAAACCUCAUCAAACAAUUUGGUGCGACCGGUCUCCCCGGAGAAGACAGCAGAUUGUUUGAUGCUCCUUCCCUCCUCCAAUUCCAGAUCCUCGCCGUGCCGGUUUUUCCGACCUCUCGACGGAUGAACUGCAUGUUCACUGACUCCACCCUCUGCGUUGACCUCGACCAGUCUCGUCCCCUCAUUUGGCACUUGUGGUAGGUAGAAAUUAUUGGCUUCAAAGUUGAUCGCCAACUUAUCAUUGCUCGGAAGGAAUUUAUGUGCCUCCUCAAUCC
RNAcentral lists this long non-coding RNA (1396 nucleotides) under Musa acuminata (dwarf banana). RNAcentral's name for it is "long non-coding RNA (MACU_LNC003643)". Lineage: Eukaryota; Viridiplantae; Streptophyta; Magnoliopsida; Zingiberales; Musaceae. The record is from RNAcentral.